RNAcentral lists this ribosomal RNA (468 nucleotides) under uncultured bacterium. RNAcentral describes it as "partial 16S ribosomal RNA". It matches the Rfam family "Bacterial small subunit ribosomal RNA", at positions 28 to 507 of the family's 1533-position model. The record is from RNAcentral.
GAUGAACGCUGGCGGCGUGCUUAACACAUGCAAGUCGAACGGAAAGGCCCAAGCUUGCUUGGGUACUCGAGUGGCGAACGGGUGAGUAACACGUGGGUGAUCUGCCCUGCACUUCGGGAUAAGCCUGGGAAACUGGGUCUAAUACCGGAUAGGACGAUGGUUUGGAUGCCAUUGUGGAAAGUUUUUUCGGUGUGGGAUGAGCUCGCGGCCUAUCAGCUUGUUGGUGGGGUAAUGGCCUACCAAGGCGUCGACGGGUAGCCGGCCUGAGAGGGUGUACGGCCACAUUGGGCCUGGGGUACGGCCCAGACUCCUACGGGGGGCAGCAGUGGGGAAUAUUGCACAAUGGGCGCAAGCCUGAUGCAGCGACGCCGCGUGGGGGAUGACGGCCUUCGGGUUGUAAACUCCUUUCGCUAGGGACGAAGCGUUUUUGUGACGGUACCUGGAGAAGAAGCACCGGCUAACUACGUG